This is a non-coding RNA of Heteronotia binoei (common prickly gecko), 396 nucleotides long. Lineage: Eukaryota; Metazoa; Chordata; Lepidosauria; Squamata; Gekkonidae. The record is from the annotation of a RefSeq genome assembly.
CUCUCAAAUUCAGACUCAUCCUUGACUGUUACCAUGGCCUGGGCCUUGUUUCUCCUCACAUUUCUCAGUUACUCUUCAGGUGCAACUUCACAGCCAACCUUGACUCAGACUCCCUCACAGUCUGUUGCUCCUGGACAAACGGUUAAACUUUCCUGCACUGUCAGCAGUAACAAAAAUACCGUCUGCUGGGUUCAACAGAAAUCUGGACAGAGCCCCCGCUUCAUACAGUGUACAGGUGGUAGCAGGGGAGACGGAAUCCCAGACAGGUUCACAGCAUCUGAUUCUGGGAAUGUCGGCUCUUUAACCAUCACAAACACCCAGUCUGAAGAUGAGGCCAAUUAUUACUGUUACAUGUGGUAUAGCAGCGGUAGCCAGUUCCACGGUGGUAAAACCUGA